GAUGAACGCUAGCGGCAGGCUUAACACAUGCAAGUCGAGGGGCAACACGGGUAGCAAUACCUGGUGGCGACCGGCGCAAGGGUGCGUAACGCGUGAGCAACAUGCCCUAUACAGGGGGAUAAUCCAGGGAAACUUGGUCUAAUAUCCCAUAGUAUUUAGAGGUGGCAUCACCACUAAAUUAAAGCUUCGGUGGUAUAGGAUUGGCUCGCGUGACAUUAGCUGGAUGGUGGGGUAACGGCUCACCAUGGCGAUGAUGUCUAGGGGUUCUGAGAGGAAGACCCCCCCACACUGGGACUGAGACACGGCCCAGACUCCUACGGGAGGCAGCAGUGAGGAAUAUUGGACAAUGGAUGGAAAUCUGAUCCAGCCAUGCCGCGUGCAGGAAGACGGCCCUAGUGGGUUGUAAACUGCUUUUUAUAUGGGAGCAAUAAGGUUUACGCGUAGACCGAUGAGAGUACCAUAUGAAUAGCAUCGGCUAACUCGU
Molecule: ribosomal RNA, 484 nt
Filed under: uncultured bacterium
Lineage: Bacteria
Description: bacterial SSU rRNA
Rfam family: Bacterial small subunit ribosomal RNA
Source: RNAcentral